ACCGUGGGACGACGUUGGACACCGUGGGACGUCGUGGGACACCGUGGAACACCGUGGGACACCGUGGGACACCAUUGGUUCAGUGUGGAUCUCCAAAUGCCGCGAAAAGAAUUUUGGAUGAUCUACACUGGACUGCAACGUGGGACACCAUUGAACACCGUUGGUCCAGUGUGGAUCACCAAAAAACGCGAAAAGAAUUUUGGAUGAUCUAGACUGGACUGCAACGUGGGACACCGUGGGAUUCCAUUGGUCCAGUAUGGAUCUCCAAAAGCCGCGAAAAGAAUUUUGGAUGAUCUACACUGGACU
This 306-nucleotide unclassified non-coding RNA is filed under the name Bombus terrestris (buff-tailed bumblebee). RNAcentral describes it as "misc RNA ENSBTSG00005028946.1". Lineage: Eukaryota; Metazoa; Arthropoda; Insecta; Hymenoptera; Apidae. The record is from RNAcentral.